RNAcentral lists this ribosomal RNA (908 nucleotides) under uncultured bacterium. Its description in RNAcentral is "bacterial SSU rRNA". It matches the Rfam family "Bacterial small subunit ribosomal RNA", at positions 33 to 932 of the family's 1533-position model. The record is from RNAcentral.
ACGCUGGCGGCAGGCUUAACACAUGCAAGUCGAACGGUAACAGGGAUUAGCUUGCUAAUCUGCUGACGAGUGGCGGACGGGUGAGUAAUGCUUGGGAAUCUGGCUUAUGGAGGGGGAUAACUACGGGAAACUGUAGCUAAUACCGCGUAAAAUCUUCGGAUUAAAGGGUGGGACUUUCGAGCCACCUGCCAUAAGAUGAGCCCAAGUGGGAUUAGGUAGUUGGUUAGGUAAAGGCUGACCAAGCCGACGAUCUCUAGCUGGUCUGAGAGGAUGACCAGCCACACUGGAACUGAGACACGGUCCAGACUCCUACGGGAGGCAGCAGUGGGGAAUAUUGCACAAUGGGGGGAACCCUGAUGCAGCCAUGCCGCGUGAAUGAAGAAGGCCUUCGGGUUGUAAAGUUCUUUCGGUGACGAGGGAGGUUGGUAGGUUAAUAGCCUAUCAAAUUGACGUUAAUCACAGAAGAAGCACCGGCUAACUCCGUGCCAGCAGCCGCGGUAAUACGGGGGGUGCGAGCGUUAAUCGGAAUAACUGGGCGUAAAGGGCACGCAGGCGGUGACUUAAGUGAGAUGUGAAAGCCCCGAGCUUAACUUGGGAAUUGCAUUUCAUACUGGGUCGCUAGAGUACUUUAGGGAGGGGUAGAAUUCCACGUGUAGCGGUGAAAUGCGUAGAGAUGUGGAGGAAUACCGAAGGCGAAGGCAGCCCCUUGGGAAUGUACUGACGCUCAUGUGCGAAAGCGUGGGGAGCAAACAGGAUUAGAUACCCUGGUAGUCCACGCUGUAAACGAUGUCGAUUUGGGGAUUGGGCUUUGAGCUUGGUGCCCGUAGCUAACGUGAUAAAUCGACCGCCUGGGGAGUACGGCCGCAAGGUUAAAACUCAAAUGAAUUGACGGGGGCCCGCACAAGCGG